RNAcentral lists this microRNA precursor (105 nucleotides) under Paramuricea clavata. Lineage: Eukaryota; Metazoa; Cnidaria; Anthozoa; Malacalcyonacea; Plexauridae. The record is from RNAcentral.
GUUUGUGGAAACACCACGUAAAUUUAUUACUGCAGUUAUAAAUUGCAGUUGUAAAUUUAUUACUGCAGUAAUAAAUUUACGUGGUGUUUCCACAAACAAAACCUA